Molecule: small RNA, 766 nt
Filed under: Histoplasma ohiense
Lineage: Eukaryota; Fungi; Ascomycota; Eurotiomycetes; Onygenales; Ajellomycetaceae
Description: hypothetical lncRNA
Source: RNAcentral
UAUCCCUCGCUGCUAAGCUAUCGCUGCCAACCUAUCUAUCGCUGCCAACCUAUCUAUCGCUGUCAAUUUAUCUACCACUGCCAAUCUAUCUAUUGCUGCUAAUCUAUCGCUGCUGUCAAUCUAUCCCUCGCUGCUAAGCUAUCCCUCGCUGCUAAGCUAUCGCCGCUGCCAAUCUAUCCCUCACUGCUAAGCUAUCCCUCGCUGCUAAGCUAUCACUGCCAAUCUAUCGCUGCUAAUCUAUCGCUGCCAACCUAUCUACCGCGGCGAAUCUAUCUAUCACUGCUAAUCUAUUGCUGCUAAUCUAUCACUGCUAAUCUAUCGCUGCUAAUCUAUCGCUGCUAAUCUAUCGCUGCUAAUCUAUCGCUGCUAAUCUAUCGCUGCUAAUCUAUCGCUGCCAACCUAUCUACCGCGGCGAAUCUAUCUAUUGCUGCCAACCAACCUACCACUGCCAACCUAUCUAUCGCUGCCAAUCUAUCGCUGCCAACCUAUCUACUGCAGUGAAUCUAUCUAUCACUAUCAUUACUAGUUCAAAAUAGAACUAGAGCAUAAAUACACUAAACUUCUUUUGAUAGGUAAUGAUUUUUGGUAACACUCAUAGCAUUAUAUCAUCUAUAUAGGGUAAAUCAUGGUCCCAUUUGGUCCCAUUUUAACAAAAUGGGAUCAAAUGGGACCAGAAUCAGUAAUUUAUAAGAAGAACAUGACCUGAGACUAGAUUUAUAAUAUAAACAGUGUAAAGUGACUAAUUUAAUAAACACUAUAUGGGACC